This 401-nucleotide unclassified non-coding RNA is filed under the name soil metagenome. RNAcentral describes it as "partial contains 5.8S ribosomal RNA, internal transcribed spacer 2, and large subunit ribosomal RNA". The stretch from base 3 to 120 matches the Rfam family "5.8S ribosomal RNA", at positions 37 to 154 of the family's 154-position model. The record is from RNAcentral.
GCUGAAGAACGCAGCGAAACGCGAUAGUUAAUGUGAAUUGCAGAAUUCAGUGAAUCAUCGAGUCUUUGAACGCACAUUGCGCCUUUUGGUAUUCCGAGAGGCACGUCUGUUUGAGCGUCAGCAAAACCUCUCAGGUGUCCCGGUUUUGUUACCGGGGUGCGCGGGCAUGCUGGCGCGGGGAUGCGGCUGCCGCGCUUCGGUGCGGGCGGGCCUUCCCCCGCUUAAAGGUGUGGAAGCUAGCGGGGUGCGCCCCGGAUCGCGACGACUCGUAAGCCAUCACCGUCGAAGGCAUCCGGACGCCCCCACCUCCAAACUCGGUGGCACCUCGGUGCCCCUCAAACCCUUGACCUCAGAUCAGACGAGGAUACCCGCUGAACUUAAGCAUAUCAAUAAGCGGAGGA